AGACGGGAUGACCGCAUCACUAAGCAAACUGUUGCUUAUGCCUCCUUGUUUUGGAUGCAGAUCAGGACCAGACCCGUAAGGGUAAAGACAUAGCUUGACCGCGGGACUAAGGCAGGAAGGAAGGAUGGGGGAUUUGGGUAGAUGUAGGACGAGUUUAACUUGUAAUAGCUUAUAGCAAACUCACUUGUUAACUCGAACCUCACUUAAUCUAUUCAAAUCUUAUUAUGCUUGCUUUUGAUUGUCUGAAAACGAACUAAAACUCGGAAAUAAUUCUAAGUAAAGAAAUGAGGAAAACGGCCCAAGUCUGAUCGAGGAAGUCGAGCCAGACUCGUACUGAUGGUACGAAAAAAUGGGUCGGGUCCUUUCAAGUGGUAUCAGAGCGGAGUCGGUUCUAGGACAAUCUAAGUAUAGUGGGUUAUUGGGGCAAACCAUCCUUCCAAGCCUGACGUCUCGUGGUAAAUUCUGUGUUCCGUGUUCUGAUCCCAAGUUAGUUUUGACUAACUUGCCUGUGAUCUGAUUGCAGAUGGCAAAAAGUAACCGUAACCCAAGAAGGACUGUGAAUGAGACUGGUGAGGGGUCUGCGAGCAACGUGGCCAGGAAUGAAGCUGGUACGGAAGAGGCUCGGAAUGCUGCUCAGAAUGCAGCAAAUGUGAACAAUGCUGCAGCCGCUGGUGCUGCUGCUGGAGCUGUUGGAUUGGAAGCUGUGCUGGCUAUGUUGGCACAAGUCUUGGCAAGGCUGCCUGCUGUGGCGGCACCUCCAGUGGUUCCACCUGUUGUGGACGAGGCGGAGCAAGUGGUGCAAGAUGGAGAAGAUGCACACGUUGCUAGGAAUCCGUCUUAUCUCAAGGUCAUGGACCACAUGCAAAAACUGGGAACCAAGUUCUUUUCGGGUGGUUCCAAACCAGUGGAAGCAGAUCAAUGGAUUGACAGGAUAGGCCGGAACUUUAAGUCGAUCCGUUGUCCUCUUGCUUACAAGAAGGACAUUGCUGUCCACUACUUGGACGGUGAUGCGCACACCUGGUGGCGAGGUGUUGCUGCCCGGAUUGGUGAGGAUCAGUGCACCUGGGCCAAUUUUAAGGCCGAGUUCCGUGCGAAGUACUUUCCGCCGGAAGCAUUUGACCAACUUGAGGGAGCUUUCCUCAGACUGGAACAGGGAUCUAUGUCUGUAAGGGAAUAUGAAGUAGAGUUCAACAGCCUCAAGAAGUAUGCUGGGCGUGAGGCAGAGUCUGAGAUAUCCUUGGUCCGUAAAUUCAUGCGCGGACUUAGGGUUGAUCUCCGAACUCGUUGUAAGAUCCGCAACUAUGAUACCGUGGCCGAACUGGUGGAAAAGGCCGCGGAGCAGGAAGCGGGAAUCAGUGAGGAAGCCAAAGUGUUUGGCUCAGUGGCGCAUGUCCAUCCUGGUAAGCAUGCGGGGAAGAAUCAAAAGGUGGUGAAGUCUGGCACUUCCAGCAAGCCGAAUGCAACCAGUCGCAGUGCGUGUUCGACUUGUGGGAAGAUGCACUCUGGUGUGUGCCGUGCUGCUACGGGAGCUUGUCACCGUUGUGGAAGUAUGGAUCACAAGGUGCGGGAUUGUCCUGAAGAAGAUCAACGGCCGAAGAGCCAGAACAGGAGUACUGGGGAACGCGUGUGCUACAACUGCGGGGAAACUGGACACUUCAAGAAUCAGUGUCCAAAGGACGCACAAUCUGCUGGGAAGCGUCCGAGUGAUGGGCCUCAGCCGGCUGCGAAGAGGCAGGCCAUCAUGCCGCGGGUGUACACCAUUGGUGAUGAGUCGUCGGACCCAAGCACGUCUCGUCCGAUCUCUGGUGAGUCAUCCUAUCUCUCACCUUUGCCUUAAGAAUUUCUGUGUGAAAUUGCUUGUCUGUAGAGUAGGUCCUUAGUGUUCCGGGUGAAUAUGUAGGGACCUUAGUCAUGGGUGGAGUGGCAGCCCAUGUUCUGUUUGAUUCCGGUGCAUCUCACUGCUUUGGCAACCUGAGAUGAUUGGAAUUGGAGAAUUUCAGAAAGAAGAAGAAGAAGUAAGACCGGUUCGGGCGGCUGGUGGUCAGAUCAUGUACACUUCAGGAAAAAUCCGAAACGUCUCUGUGAUGAUCGGGGGAGUGAACAUGCCAGCCGACUUGGUCAUUUGCCCAGUGAAAUCAUACGAUGUGAUCCUUGGAAUGGAUUGGCUGAGUAAAUACAAGGCACAUCUUGAUUGUCAUCGUGGCCGAGUUCAGUUUGAAAUCGGCAAUGGAAAGCUUGUCUAUCAAGGGGUCAGACCGACCAAUGGGAGUCUGAUCAUUUCAGCACUUCAAGCAGAACGAAUGCUGGAAAAAGGGUGUGAGGCCUAUCUGGCUUCAAUCACGACUGUGGAAGUCGGACCUGAUGCUGAGUUGGAAGGGAUUCCGAUUGUAAAGGAGUAUGAUGACGUGUUCGAAUCCUUGACAGGAUUACCACCGGACCGUUCUGAUCCUUUCACGAUUGAGCUUGAGCCGGGUACAACACCAAUCUCAAAAGCUCCGUAUCGGAUGGCUCCGGCUGAAAUGUCGGAACUGAAGAAACAGUUGGAUGAGUUGGUGGAGAAAGGAUUUGUGCGACCAAGCAGCUCGCCUUGGGGUGCACCAGUCUUGUUCGUGAAGAAGAAAGAUGGUAGCUUCAGACUAUGCAUCGACUACAGGGGGAUUAACAGAGUCACAGUGAAGAACAAGUACCCUCUCCCAAGGAUAGAUGAGUUAUUGGACCAACUCCGAGGUGCUACUUGUUUCUCAAAGAUUGAUUUAGCUUCGGGAUACCAUCAGAUUCCGAUUGCUGAAGAGGAUAUCCGUAAGACAGCUUUCAGAUCAAGAUAUGGCCACUACGAGUUCGUGGUCAUGCCCUUCGGACUGACCAAUGCCCCUGCAGCGUUUAUGAAGAUGAUGAAUAACGUUUUUAGAGACUACCUGGAUGAAUUCGUUAUUGUCUUCAUAGACGACAUCUUGAUCUACUCAAAGAAUCAGAAAGAUCACGAGCAACACUUGAGAAUGGUUUUGGAUAAACUGCGGGAACAUAAGCUGUACGCCAAGCUUAGCAAAUGCAGUUUCUGGCAAAAAGAAAUUGGUUUCUUGGGUCAUGUGGUGUCGGACAAGGGAGUGUCCGUCGACCCAGAAAAGAUCAAAGCCAUUGCGGACUGGCCAAGACCAAGGAACCCAACGGAGAUCAGGAGUUUUCUCGGACUGGCUGGAUACUACCGGCGUUUUGUUAAGGGAUUUGCUAGCAUGGCUCAGCCGUUGACAAAGUUGACUGGGAAAGAUGUUCAGUUUGUGUGGACAGAAAACUGUGAAGUGAGUUUCAGCAAACUCAAGGAGAUGUUGACCACUACUCCAGUAUUGGCUCUUCCAAUGGACAACGAGCCAUAUGUGGUCUAUACAGAUGCAUCCAAAGUUGGACUUGGGUGUGUUCUGAUGCAACAAGGCAAAGUGAUCGCGUAUGCGUCUAGACAGCUGAGGAAACACGAAGGAAACUAUCCAACACACGACUUAGAAAUGGCUGCUGUCGUGUUUGCGUUGAAGAUAUGGCGAUCUUACCUCUAUGGUGCCAAGGUCCAAGUCUUCACGGAUCAUAAGAGUUUGAAGUAUAUCUUCACUCAACCAGAGCUGAACCUUAGGCAGAGGCGGUGGAUGGAACUGGUUGCGGAUUAUGACUUGGAUAUUGCCUACCAUCCGGGAAAGGCAAAUCUAGUCGCGGAUGCCUUGAGCAGGAAGAGAGUAGCUUCAGCUUCAGAGAAAGACAUGCAGGAACUGGUUCACAUGGUGGGAACCUUACGAUUAGCUGCCUUGACCGACGAAGUGGAACCGUUGGGUCUUGGUGCAGCGGAUCAGGCUGACUUGUUGUCCAGAGUUCGCCUUGCUCAGGAAAAGGAUGAUGAUCUGAUCAAAGCUUCAAAGAAUGAGAAGACAGAGUAUCAGACUUCAAACAAUGGGACGAUUUUGGUUAAUGGCCGGGUGUGUGUUCCUAAUGACAAAGGAUUGCGGGAUGAGAUCCUAAAAGAAGCACAUCAGUCUAAGUUUUCGAUACAUCCAGGAGCCAACAAGAUGUACCGAGACUUGAAGAGAUACUAUCAUUGGGUUGGAAUGAAGCGUGAUGUUGCAAAAUGGGUAGCUGGGUGCCCAAUCUGCCAGAUGGUUAAGGCAGAAAAUCAAGUUCCGAGCGGACUACUUCAGAGUUUACCCAUUCCGGAAUGGAAGUGGGAUAUGAUCACGAUGGACUUCGUGACUGGCUUGCCAAUGAGAAAUGGCAAGGACGCUAUCUGGGUGAUAGUGGACAGAUUGACCAAAUCUUCGCAUUUCUUGGCAAUCAACAAGACAGACAAUGCAGCAGUGCUAGCCAAGUUAUAUGUGGAACAGAUCGUCAGACUUCAUGGAGUUCCGGUAAGCAUAGUGUCAGACCGAGACUCCAAGUUUUAUUCAGCCUUUUGGAGGGCGAUGCAGAAGUCGAUGGGGACCAAGGUCCAUAUGAGUACAGCAUAUCAUCCGCAAACGGAUGGACAAUCAGAAAGGACAAUCCGAACACUUGAAGACUUGCUGCGAUCUUGUGUUCUGGAUUGGGGAGACAAAUGGGAUCAAUACUUGCAUCUGGCCGAGUUCUCAUACAACAACAGCUAUCAUGCAAGUAUUGGAAUGUCUCCUUACGAGGCAUUGUAUGGACGUCCGUGUAGGACACCGCUAUGCUGGACCCAAGUGGGGGAGCGCAGCAUAUUUGGCCGAGACUUUGUGGAGGAGACAACUGAAAGAAUCCGAGUCUUGAAACUGAAGAUGAAAGAGUCUCAGGACAGGCAGAAGAGUUAUGCAGACAGACGCAGAAAAGAGCUUGAGUUUGAAGUAGGGGACAUGGUAUAUCUCAAAACCGUCACCUACAAAGGCAAGGACCGAUCCUCAAAGAAUGCCAAGCUGAGUCCAAGAUACAUGGGGCCGUAUAAGAUCCUGGAAAGGAUUGGAAAGGUCGCUUACAAACUGGAACUGCCUUCAUCGAUGGCUCAGUUCCAUAACGUGUUCCAUGUAUCCUUGCUGCGAAAAUGCAUAAGGAAUCAAGACAAUGUGGUUUCAGAACCACCAUCUGACUUGAGAGAAAACCUUACAGUGGAGGGACGACCAGUCCGGAUCAUUGGUAGGAAAACCAAACCUGAAGGCAGAAAGAAUAUCAAAAUGAUCCAAGUCGUUUGGGACUGCGAUGGAGAAGAAGAAACGACUUGGGAACCAGAGGCGAGAAUGAAAGCUGAGUUUCCAAAGUGGUUUGACAAACUCAAGGAAGAUUCAGGAAGAAAGACUCGAGGACGAGUCUGAGCCAAGUGGGGGAGAACUUGUAGCGACCGUGUUCCGAAGAUCGAUGAUAGGAUGAUCUGAGGACUGACUGGCCGGACUGUUGGAACGUACUGAAUGGGUUUGAUGAUGCUAGAAAGAGCUGGCCAAAGUUGUAAGGACUUACCGUGGGUGGAUGGGAGUUCUUGGUUCGGAAGUCUGAUUAGUAGUGGAUGGAGCGGAACCAUGUACCCGAAUAAAGCUAGGAUCUGAUCUGUUUUUGAGCCAACAAAGCUCCAUCAGUCGGUCUUACGCUCGGGUUAUUGGACCAGGCCGUUCGAUUUGCGGAACUCAGUAGUGUUCGGCCAGUUCGAUGAAAAUCCAGGCAAAGCGGUAUUUUCGGACAGCAAUGGUCGGAUCCGGACAAGUGUUGUCGGAUUCGGACAUGACGGUUGAGCUGGUCGGCUAGACAGAGAUUGUCGGAAAUCAGACAAGGGAGUUAAGACUGUCGGCUAAGCUGAGAUGAGCUGAUUCAGUAGUAUUGGUCUGAUUCGGACAAGGCGGUUAGAGUUGUCGACUGCAUCAGUCAGCUUCAGCUCGAGUUUCGUCUAAGUAAAACUGGCGGGAACAGUUAAGGUCCGAAAAGGGGAAAAACUCGCGCUGACAUGCUUUGGAGCGCGGGGAGGCGGUUAUGGACAAAGAGCCGCGUGUAAAAUAAGCGGGAACGGUUAUCUUUGCAGUUUCUCGGGCCUAAACCGCCCAACUGCCCAACUGCCCAUUUUAAUCGUCUCCUUGGUCUUAUUUCGCCAUUUCUGUACGGGAAACAGAAAGAAAGAACCAGAGAAGAACUCAGAGAGAGAAAAGUCCGAUAGAGAGAGAACUUUCGAUAUUUGGCUGUAUUGAUCAAGUCCGAGUCAAGAACGAUCGUCUGUGGGGUGAUUCCGACUGUCUGAACGUUCGAAGAUCCGACGGAAACCGCUCAAGAGGUGUCAGAAGAGACCGAAUCAAACAGAACAUACCGACUCUAAGACAAAGGUGAGUGCGUGACCGUAGCCUAUAGUACUGAAUCGUAGUCUGAAUGAUAGGAAUGUUCUAUGUACUGAUUGCUUGUCUAAUUCGAAUUAUCUGCUAAGUUCUGGCUUGGUCCGAACAGUCGGUUCCUUCCAUCGACGCAUCUGGAUCAGAACAUGCGCCUAGAGCCGGAAUGGCCUGCUAGGGUUGUCUGUAUCUGAUGGCGCGUUGGCUUGGGACGAUUGGGUCGGCUAAGUGACUGACUGAUGAUAAGCAUGUCCGUUUACUGAUUGAUUGACUCGAUUGCUUUACAUGGCUGAGUGAGACGGGAUGACCGCAUCACUAAGCAAACUGUUGCUUAUGCCUCCUUGUUUUGGAUGCAGAUCAGGACCAGACCCGUAAGGGUAAAGACAUAGCUUGACCGCGGGACUAAGGCAGGAAGGAAGGAUGGGGGAUUUGGGUAGAUGUAGGACGAGUUUAACUUGUAAUAGCUUAUAGCAAACUCACUUGUUAACUCGAACCUCACAUAAUCUAUUCAAAUCUUAUUAUGCUUGCUUUUGAUUGUCUGAAAACGAACUAAAACUCGG
Molecule: long non-coding RNA, 6847 nt
Filed under: Brassica rapa (field mustard)
Lineage: Eukaryota; Viridiplantae; Streptophyta; Magnoliopsida; Brassicales; Brassicaceae
Description: long non-coding RNA (BRAP_LNC008113)
Source: RNAcentral